This 71-nucleotide transfer RNA is filed under the name Ochrovirga pacifica. It matches the Rfam family "tRNA". Rfam says of the family: Transfer RNA (tRNA) molecules are approximately 80 nucleotides in length. Their secondary structure includes four short double-helical elements and three loops (D, anti-codon, and T loops). Further hydrogen bonds mediate the characteristic L-shaped molecular structure. tRNAs have two regions of fundamental functional importance: the anti-codon, which is responsible for specific mRNA codon recognition, and the 3' end, to which the tRNAs corresponding amino acid is attached (by aminoacyl-tRNA synthetases). tRNAs cope with the degeneracy of the genetic code in two manners: having more than one tRNA (with a specific anti-codon) for a particular amino acid; and 'wobble' base-pairing, i.e. permitting non-standard base-pairing at the 3rd anti-codon position. RNAcentral also lists the same sequence under 2 other names. The record is from RNAcentral. Lineage: Bacteria; Pseudomonadati; Bacteroidota; Flavobacteriia; Flavobacteriales; Flavobacteriaceae.
CCGAUGUAGCUCAGCUGGCUAGAGCAGCUGAUUUGUAAUCAGCAGGUCGGGGGUUCGAGUCCCUUCAUCGG